CCCAGCCUCCCCGAGUCCCUGGUAGCCCCGUGUGGCUGUGUGCCAACUCAGUCUGGCCUGCUGGGUGCCCCCCAUCCCUACCCAGUUGACCCUCCCAUGGGGGCCCUCCUGACCGGGCAGCCCAUGCCCCCAUCUCCCCACUGCCGGCCUCCAUGCAGGUGCAGAAGGUCAGCCUCAACCCCGCCUGCCGGCCCCACCCGAGCUUCACUUCCUGUCUGGUGCCCCCUGCGGAGCCCCUCCCUGACACAGCCCAGCCUGCGGUGAUGGAGACACCCGUGGGUGAUGCAGACGCAAGCGAGGGUUUCUCUUCCCCUCCCAGUUCGCUGACCUCGCCCUCCACGCCCUCCAGCCUGGGGCCCUCACUCUCCAGCACCAGUGGCAUCGGGACCAGCCCCAGUUUGAGGUCGCUGCAGAGCCUGCUGGGCCCCAGUUCCAAGUUCCGCCAUGCUCAGGGCACUGUCCUGCACCGAGACAGCCACAUCACCAACCUCAAGGGGCUCAACCUCACCACACCUGGUGAGAGUGACGGCUUCUGUGCCAACAAGCUGCGUGUGGCCGUGCCGCUGCUCAGCAGCGGGGGACAGGUGGCUGUGCUUGAGGUGAGGGCCCCACCCCACCAGGGCUGCCCCUCAGUUCCCUGCCUGUGGCAAAGACGCGGAGGGCCUUAGCUACCCACACAACACAGGGAGCACAAACCUUGUGUCAGGCUCCUGCCCGCCUGUCCUGUGAUCCUCCCAGCCACCUGCCAUGGGGCCUGCCACUUUUAUCCCCAUUUUACAGAUGAGGGAGAAGAGGCACAGAGAGGUUUAGUGACCUGCCCGGGUCACACAGCUGUGUAAGUGGUGGAGCUGGGAUCCGAAGCCCGGCCACCUGAGCCCUAAGCCGGAGCUUUUCCCGCCAGUUCACGCUGCUGCCCCCUCACUCUCUGGGGCCU
This 934-nucleotide long non-coding RNA is filed under the name Homo sapiens (human). Its description in RNAcentral is "non-protein coding lnc-PAM16-5:1". The record is from RNAcentral. Lineage: Eukaryota; Metazoa; Chordata; Mammalia; Primates; Hominidae.